Molecule: small RNA, 296 nt
Filed under: Pan troglodytes (chimpanzee)
Lineage: Eukaryota; Metazoa; Chordata; Mammalia; Primates; Hominidae
Description: retained intron
Source: RNAcentral
UUGAAUAGACUGUCAACAGGUUAUUGGCUGUUUGAAGAUCCUCAUUUGUCUGCUAACUAUACCUCUAUUUUUUUUUUCUACGUUCACCUGGAAGACAUGUCUUCUUCAAGAGCACCUUGACUCUGUCCAGAAGGAGUUCAUAAUUUUCAACAGAGAAAAAGUAAACAGGGACUUUAACAAAAGACAACCAAAUCUAGCCUUGGAACAAACCAAAGACCCACAAGUGACAAAUGGACAAAUGGACACAGGACUCAGUGAGACUUUUCAGACCUCGAAAGUUUCAUAAAGUGGUCAGA